This 550-nucleotide ribosomal RNA is filed under the name uncultured archaeon. RNAcentral describes it as "bacterial SSU rRNA". It matches the Rfam family "Archaeal small subunit ribosomal RNA", at positions 325 to 879 of the family's 1478-position model. The record is from RNAcentral.
UAGGGGCGCAGCAGGCGCGAAACCUUUACAAUGCGGGCAACCGUGAUAAGGGAACCUCGAGUGCCUGUAAACGCAGGCUGUUCAGGUGUUUAAAACGCACCUGGAGAAAGGGCCGGGCAAGACCGGUGCCAGCCGCCGCGGUAAUACCGGCGGCUCGAGUGGUGGCCGCUUUUAUAGGGCUUAAAGCGUUCGUAGCUGGGUUGUUAAGUCUCUUGGGAAAUCUGGCGGCUUAACCGUCAGGCGUCUAAGGGAUACUGGCAAUCUUGGAACCGGGAGAGGUGAGGGGUACUUCGGGGGUAGGGGUGAAAUCCUGUAAUCCUCGAGGGACCACCUGUGGCGAAGGCGCCUCACCAGAACGGCUUCGACAGUGAGGGACGAAAGCUGGGGGAGCAAACCGGAUUAGAUACCCGGGUAGUCCCAGCCGUAAACGAUGCGCGUUAGGUGUAUCGGUGACCACGAGUUACCGAGGUGCCGAAGGGAAACCGUGAAACGCGCCGCCUGGGAAGUACGGUCGCAAGGCUGAAACUUAAAGGAAUUGGCGGGGGAGCAC